Molecule: ribosomal RNA, 635 nt
Filed under: uncultured Marinobacter sp.
Lineage: Bacteria; Pseudomonadati; Pseudomonadota; Gammaproteobacteria; Pseudomonadales; Marinobacteraceae
Description: bacterial SSU rRNA
Rfam family: Bacterial small subunit ribosomal RNA
Source: RNAcentral
CGCCUGGGGAGUAGGGCCGCAAGGUUAAAACUCAAAUGAAUUGACGGGGGCCCGCACAGGCGGUGGAGCAUGUGGUUUAAUUCGACGCAACGCGAAGAACCUUACCUGGCCUUGACAUCCAGAGAGCUUUCCAGAGAUGGAUUGGUGCCUUCGGGAACUCUGAGACAGGUGCUGCAUGGCCGUCGUCAGCUCGUGUCGUGAGAUGUUGGGUUAAGUCCCGUAACGAGCGCAACCCCUGUCCCUGGUUGCUAGCAGGUAAUGCUGAGAACUCCAGGGAGACUGCCGGUGACAAACCGGAGGAAGGUGGGGAUGACGUCAGGUCAUCAUGGCCCUUACGGCCAGGGCUACACACGUGCUACAAUGGCGCGUACAGAGGGCUGCCAACUCGCGAGAGUGAGCCAAUCCCUUAAAACGCGUCGUAGUCCGGAUCGGAGUCUGCAACUCGACUCCGUGAAGUCGGAAUCGCUAGUAAUCGCGAAUCAGAAUGUCGCGGUGAAUACGUUCCCGGGCCUUGUACACACCGCCCGUCACACCAUGGGAGUGGAUUGCACCAGAAGUAGUUAGUCUAACCUUCGGGAGGACGAUUACCACGGUGUGGUUCAUGACUGGGGUGAAGUCGUAACAAGGUAACCGUA